AAAAAUCACAACUGAUAGCAAUUAUUUUUUUGCAUAUUUAAAUUAUUCCAAAAAUGUUAUGCCUUUGUUUAUCUAGUGAAGAUUCUAUUUUUCUAUUAUUUUGACUAUAGUGCACUUGCAUGCAGAAUUGCACUGUAGUAAACUGCAAAGGACAUGGCAAAUACCUUUUUCAAUCACCGUCACCCAAUCGAUAAGAAACCUUACCUUAGAACGUUUUACUUGUUUGAUUAAAUUGUUCAGUUUUCAGGGCACCUGUGUAGCUCAGUCAGUUAAGCGGCUGACUCUUGAUUUCAGUUCAGGUCAUGAUCCCAAGUUUUGGGCUCUGUGAUGAUAUUGAUGAGCCUACUUGGGAUUCUCUCUCCCUCUCUCUCUCUCUCUCUCUCUCUCUCUCUCUCCCCCACCCCCUCAUCUGCUCUUAUUCUCUCUCUCAAAAUAACUAAGCAUUAAAAAAAUUGUUCAAUUUUCUUUUAGUUAUAAAAUAUCAAUCCUUGGGGUGCCAGGCUGGCCCAGCAGGUUUGGCAUCUGAUCCUUGAUUUCAGCUUAGGUCAUGAUCUCAUGGUUUGUGGGAUGGAGCCCCACAUUGGGCUCUGCACUGUUAGUGCAGAGCCUGCUUGGGAUUCUCUCUCUCCCUUGCUCUCUGCACCUGCCCCACUCUCUCUAGCACACGCACUCUCUUCCAAAAUAAAUACAUAAACUUCAAAAAAAAAGUAAAUCAAUCCUUUCUUACUACUUCAAUCUCUCUGAUUAAUGUUUCCUCUCUCCUCAAAUGCUGUUUCUUCAAAAGGCACAUGGUUUCCCCACUUUCUCACCUUAUAUUUCCUCAUUACUCAUCAUUCAACUUUUAUAUCCCCAACUUUUAUGUUCACCAUCUCAACUUAAGCAUUUGUAAUAUAUCAUAUCAUAUCAAUUCAUAUCAUAUCAUCCAGUGGAACUUACUGUCUUUCAUGUGUUCAUUACUGUUGAACAUUACUGUGGAAGUUGUUUUGAAAUCACAGUCUUUCCCUUCAUCUGUGUCAUUUCCUGGAUUCUUUUGCUCCUUAAAUCUUAAACAGCAGUUUCUGUUUCCCAGGCUUAUUUUCUCAGCUUUCUUUAAUUUUCUUUUUAUUUUAUACUACCUCUUUGAGAAAACCAUACACAUUCUUCUUUUCAACAAACUAUUGAAACUAAUAGACAAAACUAGACUCAUUACCAUUUAUCCCAGACUAUUUCACCUUGUAAGAUAUCCUGAUUGCUCUUAUAACAACCAGGUUGCUAUCAAGGCUUACUUCAGAUUUCUUCUCCCACAUAAUCUGCAAAUUAAGAUUUCUUUUAUUCUUUUUUCUUCAUAAGAACUGCUAAGAUAUUACCUACAAAUGCUCAUUAUAUUUUACUUGAAAGCUGUAAUCUCCUAACUAUUCCUUCUGCCUAUAUACUUUAAUCCUUCUUUUCAGUUCUCUAAAAAGCAAUUCUUAUUUCACUACCUUUGUUAAAAAUCCUAUAAUGCCCUCUCUAAUUUGAAACAUAACAAUAAUAAAUUCUUCAGUAUAAGGAGAGGCA
This 1536-nucleotide long non-coding RNA is filed under the name Felis catus (domestic cat). Its description in RNAcentral is "lncRNA (ENSFCAG00000053301.1)". The record is from RNAcentral. Lineage: Eukaryota; Metazoa; Chordata; Mammalia; Carnivora; Felidae.